Molecule: ribosomal RNA, 420 nt
Filed under: uncultured Gemmatimonas sp.
Lineage: Bacteria; Pseudomonadati; Gemmatimonadota; Gemmatimonadia; Gemmatimonadales; Gemmatimonadaceae
Description: bacterial SSU rRNA
Rfam family: Bacterial small subunit ribosomal RNA
Source: RNAcentral
UGGGGAAUCUUGCGCAAUGGUCGAAAGACUGACGCAGCGACGCCGCGUGUGGGAGGACGCCUUUCGGGGUGUAAACCACUGUUGCCCGGGACGAACUGCUUCAUUCGUGAAGCUUGACGGUACCGGGUGAGGAAGCACCGGCUAACUCCGUGCCAGCAGCCGCGGUAAUACGGAGGGUGCGAGCGUUGUCCGGAAUCAUUGGGCGUAAAGGGCGCGUAGGUGGCCCGGUCAGUUCGUGGUGAAAGCGCGGGGCUCAACCCUGCGUCGGCCAUGAAUACUGCCGCGGCUGGAGCACUGUAGAGGCAGGCGGAAUUCCGGGUGUAGCGGUGGAAUGCGUAGAGAUCCGGAAGAACACCGGUGGCGAAGGCGGCCUGCUGGGCAGUUGCUGACACUGAGGCGCGACAGCGUGGGGAGCAAACA